Molecule: non-coding RNA, 1129 nt
Organism: Zootermopsis nevadensis
Lineage: Eukaryota; Metazoa; Arthropoda; Insecta; Blattodea; Termopsidae
Source: RefSeq, a predicted model, not a curated record
GGCUGACGGUGUUUGCGUGUAGUAUGAAGUGCUUUCAAGGACAUGCGAUUCUGAAGUGAGGUAAGAAGUUGGCCAGAAACGUUCAAGCGAGAAGCAGCAAACAUUUGAAUAUGUAAAAGUUCAUCCGUUGCCUGUGACAGGAGACCGGUGGGAAGACAUUUUGCCCGCUGUCCUGCAUGUGUUUGCUGCCUCCAUCUUCAGGAGUCAACAGACCUUCAUCCAGACUCCACGGCCAACCCAGAAGAUUUCUGUCUUCGUAAUCGUAAUCUCAGAUGUGUUUUAAUUUUGACAAAUAAAAUUAAUUAAGCUAAUUAAGGAGACUUGUAUGAGCAGGGCACGUAGCAUGCAUGGAAAGGCAUUACUUAUAUCUCAGGAAAUUAGAGGAAGAGACAGCGAAUAAGAUCUAUCUGUAGGAAAGAGGCUCUUAAAUUUUGGGAUGUGUUAUUAACAACACUCAUUUCACGUUCCUAGCUUCGGUCCACGUUAAAGUUCUAAGGAGUUGCUUAUUGCGUUAGAUGCUUUGUCCGGUGGCCUGUCCCCCCCUGUCGCCGUGGAAUUGCACGAAGUGACCAUUCCCGUUUCUAGCAUUUGGCUUGGCCACUAAACGUGAGGUGCUCAUUUUCGUCUAUUUGUGAUUUCAGAAAGACGAGGGAAUUUAUUUUCUUGUACAUUCAUUCUGAGUUACGUAAAAUAGCCUUGGCCACGUGCGUCAAAAUGGCCACUCUUCAAAGUUGCAUUUUUUUUUCCCCUUGUAUCUGGAAAUUUAUAUUCAGGCAGCAGUUCGUGAGACGUAAACGUCGUGGUUCUUAUGUUAUACUUUACAGCAAUGCUGUCCUGUAAUGGCAGACAUAUUAUCGAGGGUGCUAAUGGCUUUAAUGUGUAGUGAGAUCAAUUUCCAGUUUUAAAAAUUGAGUUAAAAUGUCUUAUCGAGUUUCUUUCUUCCUUAUAAACAUCUACUUAAUUCCAACCACACUAACAUGUAGCAUGCACAACUAGGCCGGCCCGUCUCACAAGGUAGCAGCAUUACUCCAUCGACGGGGCGUAGCCUUCAAGAGGAAAUUUUAUCUUCCAAAUUGGGAAAGAAUCGAGUUCAAUUUGUGCUUCGUAUUGUCUCUUUCUAACGCAAGAC